Molecule: long non-coding RNA, 1562 nt
Organism: Bos taurus (domestic cattle)
Lineage: Eukaryota; Metazoa; Chordata; Mammalia; Artiodactyla; Bovidae
Source: Ensembl
CUCCCCGCCUGCACCUCACCUCUUCCCCUCUGCCCGUGGGCCUCCCAGGCCCGAGCCAACUACAUCGCCACCUUAAGCCCCCUCCCCCCUUUUUUCCCCUUUCUUUCUUUAUUUUUAAUUACUGAGGGAAAAUAUACACAGAAGCAAAAAAAAAAAAAAAAAAGCCUCCCCGGCAGGCGCGAGCGGGGGUGUUGAGGAGGCCGGCGAAGGCGCUGGGAGCUGUUUAUUUAUGGCUGCAAAUGUGUGCGUGCGAGAGAGAGGGAGAAUUGAUCUUUGCCUGGACUUAAAGAUGGAGCCGAAGGCGCUGGAGGGAAUUUGGGUUUACGCGCCUAGCUCAGACCGGGGCGCUGAAGGGGGCCGUUUGGCACGAAGCCCGAGGUCGCUCUUUUCCGCACCCCUCACCUCGCGACCUUUCAGGAAUCUGAGGGGUCCUGAAGCGGCCUGGCUGACCCACCUCCCCGGGGCCGAGCUUCGAGAAAGGCUUCAUGGAGGGAGCCAUCCCGUCCCUGUCUUUAAAAUGAGCGCAAUAAAAGGGGGCAAAUCCUCAAACGUGAACCUGAUCACUUGUCACAGAAGCAACUUGCCAUGAAAUCCGCUAAUGCGCCGCGACUCGCCCACCCGGAUAGAUAACCCCCGCAGUGGUGUAACCAGCGCGCGCGCCCAAAGCCGUCUUGUCCCUCGAAUGCGCUCACCGCCGGCAACACUUGGAGAAUCCAGCCCACAGUGGUUUCGAAAACCCCAUUUUCCUGAUUGCAGCUCAGACUGUGGAACCCCGAGAGCCUCCCCAAAGAGGGAGCGUGAAUCGGGCCAAGUAGUGGGUCGGGGACACACACGCACGCACGCACGCAUAUGCACACAGAGGCAGAGCAGUGCUUCAUAGGACCUAAGAUCCAGGGUGGCUGGAAAGGGAUCUGGGAGGCCACGUCUGAAGGAGCCAGCAAGGCCCUGGUGCUGCCUCUGCCAGAGUCGUGCAGCCACUGAAGCAGCCUGAUCCUGAUAGUUAUUUUGGGGGGAAAAACACCUGGAACCCAGGUUUGAGCUAAAGAAAGUAAGGGCAAGUGACAGAUGAUCAAGCAUUUCUUUGAAAUGAGGAAGAACUGAGAACUACCCAGCUGGCCUGGCCUUAGGGCAAACUGGACCUUAGGAAACUACUCUCUUCGCACACACAGCAGCACACAUCCUCCGAUGGCAAGUUCACCGGUGCCCAGCAAGGGCCACUGCACCUCCUAACUGCUUUUUCAGCCUCCUCCAGGUUUUGCCAGGCAAAUGAAACAAGAACUCAAUAGUAAAUUAUUUUGUUCAGACUUCUGUCUUUUUAUGAAAAUAAAAGGCAACACUUUGUCAUUUUUAAUCAUAUAAGCAGACAAUAAACCUAAUCUUGAUAUUGAUUUUUCCAGAAUCAAGUGAUUUUGUGCAGUGUCUGUUUUAUUUCCUUUCUGAGGAAGAGCUGUUUGUUGGUAGAUGGUGUGGCUCUAAGACUGCACUCCAGUGGGCAGGUGCUUAUCUGAAACAUGUAGCUGAUUGUGGACUUUGAAGCGAGAUAGCUAAAAUGGGGUUCUGCC